Molecule: ribosomal RNA, 468 nt
Filed under: uncultured bacterium
Lineage: Bacteria
Description: partial 16S ribosomal RNA
Rfam family: Bacterial small subunit ribosomal RNA
Source: RNAcentral
GACGAACGCUGGCGGCGUGCUUAACACAUGCAAGUCGAACGGAAAGGCCCUGCUUUUGUGGGGUGCUCGAGUGGCGAACGGGUGAGUAACACGUGAGUAACCUGCCCUUGACUUUGGGAUAACUUCAGGAAACUGGGGCUAAUACCGGAUAGGAUCUCCUGCUGCAUGGUGGGGGUUGGAAAGUUUCGGCGGUUGGGGAUGGACUCGCGGCUUAUCAGCUUGUUGGUGGGGUAGUGGCUUACCAAGGCUUUGACGGGUAGCCGGCCUGAGAGGGUGACCGGCCACAUUGGGACUGAGAUGCGGCCGAGACUCCUACGGGAGGCAGCAGUGGGGAAUAUUGCACAAUGGGCGGAAGCCUGAUGCAGCAACGCCGCGUGCGGGAUGACGGCCUUCGGGUUGUAAACCGCUUUCGCCUGUGACGAAGCGUGAGUGACGGUAAUGGGUAAAGAAGCACCGGCUAACUACGUG